GUAGGUGGCAAGCGUUGUCCGGGAUUAUUGGGCGUAAAGCGCGCGCAGGCGGUUCUUUAAGUCUGAUGUGAAAGCCCACGGCUCAACCGUGGAGGGUCAUUGGAAACUGGAGAACUUGAGUACAGAAGAGGAAAGCGGAAUUCCACGUGUAGCGGUGAAAUGCGUAGAGAUGUGGAGGAACACCAGUGGCGAAGGCGGCUUUCUGGUCUGUAACUGACGCUGAGGCGCGAAAGCGUGGGGAGCAAACAGGGAUUAGAUACCCUGGUAGUCCACGCCGUAAACGAUGAGUGCUAAGUGUUAGGGGGGUUUCCGCCCCCGUUAGUGCUGCAGCUAACGCAUUAAGCACUCCGCCUGGGGAUACGGCCGCAAGGCUG
Molecule: ribosomal RNA, 374 nt
Filed under: uncultured organism
Description: partial 16S ribosomal RNA
Rfam family: Bacterial small subunit ribosomal RNA
Source: RNAcentral